UAAUCCUAGGGGGUUUUACACAGC
Molecule: non-coding RNA, 24 nt
Filed under: Arabidopsis thaliana (thale cress)
Lineage: Eukaryota; Viridiplantae; Streptophyta; Magnoliopsida; Brassicales; Brassicaceae
Source: RNAcentral